Molecule: non-coding RNA, 515 nt
Organism: Marmota monax (woodchuck)
Lineage: Eukaryota; Metazoa; Chordata; Mammalia; Rodentia; Sciuridae
Source: the annotation of a RefSeq genome assembly
AGCGCAGAGUGGUUAAACUCUCGGUGCGCUGUCAGAGGGUCCGUAUGGCUGAAUUGUUUCCAGAACAGAACCUGCUGUGUCCCUGUGGUUCGGACAUGACGCCCAUCCUCAUAUCAGUGCUCGUGAUGAUACUCACAUUCGGAGGAAUCAGAGCCCAGACAGUGACCCAGCCAGAGGACCACAUCGCUGUCUUUGAAGGGGCCCUGGUGCAGGUGAAGUGCAACUACUCCUAUACGGGGAGCCCUGUGCUCUUCUGGUAUGUCCAGUACCCUGGACAAGGCCUCCAGGUCCUCCUGAAACACACCUCAAGCGAUAGAACCAAAGGAUUCACAGCUGCUCUCGACAGAGGGGAGAAGUCCUUCCACCUGCAGAAACCCUCAUCUCAUUUGGACGACUCAGCCACAUACUACUGUGCUCUGAGUGGCACAGCAACUGCGCUUGCAGGGGAAGCCGAGCACAAACCCUUCAGAGUGACACAAAGUGCUUCCUGUCAGCUCUGUCUGUGGUCCCAGUGA